CACCGCGGUUAUACGAGGGGCCCAAGUUGAUGGCCAUCGGCGUAAAGAGUGGUUAAGAUAAAACUAAAACUAAAGCCAAACACUCUCAAAACUGUUAUACGUACCCGAGAGCAAGAAGCCCCUCUACGAAAGUGGCUUUAACCCCUCUGAACCCACGAAAGCUAGGGAA
RNAcentral lists this ribosomal RNA (169 nucleotides) under Atherinomorus regina (Culion silverside). RNAcentral describes it as "partial 12S rRNA". The record is from RNAcentral. Lineage: Eukaryota; Metazoa; Chordata; Actinopteri; Atheriniformes; Atherinidae.